AAAGAGCAUGUAGGCGGUCUAUUAAGUCGGAUGUGAAAGCCCUCGGCCCAACCGGGGAACUGCAUUCGAUACUGAUAGACUUGAGGACAGGAGGGGUGAGUGGAACUUCAGGUGGAACGGUGAAAUGUGUAGAUAUCUGAAGGAACACCGGUGGCGAAAGCGGCUCACUGGCCUGUCUCUGACGCUGAGAUGCGAAAGCUAGGGUAGCGAACGGGAUUAGAUACCCCGGUAGUCCUAGCCGUAAACGAUGGGUACUAGGUAGUGGGUUUUCCCUAUGGGGCUCAUUGCCGUAGCUAAUGUAUUAAGUACCCCGCCUGGGGAGUACGCUCGCAAGGGUAAAACUCAAAGGAACUGACGGGGGAUCACACAAGCGGUGGAGCAUGUGGUUUAAUUCGAAGCAACGCGAAGAACCUUACCUGGCCUUGACAUACAUGGAUUAGCUCUGUGAAAGCAGAGUGACAGCUCUUCGGAGUCGGAACAUGAACAGGUGUUGCAUGGCUGUCGUCAGCUCGUGUCGUGAGAUGUUGGGUUAAGUCCCGUAACGAGCGAAACCCUUGUCGUUAGUUGCCAGCGAGUAAUGUCGGGGACUCUAACGAGACUGCCGUUGUAAAGCGGAGGAAGGUGGGGACGACGUCAAGUCAUCAUGGCCCUUAUGGCCAGGGCGACACACGUGCUACAAUGGUCUACACAAAGGGUUCCAAGAUCGCGAGAUCAAGGCAAUCCCACAAAGUAGGCCCCAGUUCGGAUUGCAGGCUGAAAUUCGCCUGCAUGAAGCCGGAAUCGCUNGUAAUCGNGUAUCAGCCAUGACGCGGUGAAUAUGUUCCUGAUCCUUGUACACACUGCCCGUCAAGCCACGGGAGCGGGGAGCGCUNG
RNAcentral lists this ribosomal RNA (873 nucleotides) under uncultured Planctomycetota bacterium. RNAcentral's name for it is "bacterial SSU rRNA". It matches the Rfam family "Bacterial small subunit ribosomal RNA", at positions 562 to 1423 of the family's 1533-position model. Lineage: Bacteria; Pseudomonadati; Planctomycetota. The record is from RNAcentral.